AACUAAGGCAAACAGAAUAACAGCAGAGGUCUUCAGUUCUGUAUUCGCAAAUUUACAUGCUAUGUUAGCUCCGACUUCAUUAACUACUAACUAGGGAUACCCUAAGCCUCUACAGCAGUAAGCAAGAUUGCAAUCUUUGCAUCUCUACAGAAAACCCUGUGCACUGUGAGGCAGAAGCAAGGCAUCGGUCCCCUUGCUCCUCUCCUCCACCAAACCACCGCAGCCGAGCGCGUGAAGCUUCCCUUUGUUCAACGAGGCUCCGCUCUCCUCCCCAGCAGAUCCACCUGGACGCUCUCCCUCGAGCGGCGCGGGGAGCCCAGGGGAGAUGCCGGACCACCCACUGGCGGGGAAGCAGCGAGCCGCCCUCCCGCGCC
This is a long non-coding RNA of Bos taurus (domestic cattle), 374 nucleotides long. NCBI's taxonomy places the organism in Eukaryota, Metazoa, Chordata, Mammalia, Artiodactyla, Bovidae. The record is from Ensembl.